AAAAUAAAAAUUAAUAAUGGGGGUUAUUAAUAAAAAAAAUUUUAUUGUGUUAAGUUUUAAGUAGGGUUAUUUGAAAAAAUUUAAUAUUUUAUAGUUAAUUAGUAUUGUGAAAGAAUUUUGAAAAUAUAUGAAAAUAAAUUUAUUAAAAAGUAAUUUUAAUUUAAUGUAUCUUGUGUAUCAGAGUUUAUUAAUAAAAUAAUUAUUUUUAAUUUUUUUCGAAUUUAAAAGAGAUAAUUAUUUAUUAAAGUUAUUGUUGCAUAAAUAUUUUAAAUAAUUAAUUUGAAAUGAGAUGUUAAUCGUUUUUAAAUAUAUCUAAUUUUUUUAGAAAAAAAUUUAAUUUUAAAUUAAUUUAAUAAUUGAUUUAUUUUUUUUUUUAUAAUUUUAUUAUUAAAUUAAUUUUAUAUUUUAAGGGAUAAGCUUUAAAUUAAAUUUUUAUAAUUUUUUAUAUUUUUAAUUAAAAUUUUUAUUAUUUAUAUUGUAAGUAAAUUUUAUUUUAUUAUAAAUAAUUUUAUAUUUAUUUAAAAUUUAAUUUAAAUUUAAUUUUUUAUAAAAAAAAAUUUUUUUAAUUUAAUAAAAUAUGAUAUAAUGAUAAAAUUAGUAUAUAAAUUUAAUUUAAUAAAAUAUUAUUUAUAUUUAUUAAUUUUAAGGAAUUCGGCAAAAUUUUAUGUCCACUUGUUUAUCAAAAACAUGUCUUUUUGAUUUUAAUUUAAAGUUUAAUCUGCCCACUGAUGAAAAUUAAAGGGCUGCAGUAUUUUGACUGUACAAAGGUAGCAUAAUCAUUAGUCUUUUAAAUGGUGACUUGUAUGAAUGAUUGGAUGAGAUAUAAGCUGUUUUAAAUUUAUUUGAUAGAAUUUAAUUUUUUAAUUAAAAAGUUAAAAUAUAUUAAAAAGACGAGAAGACCCUAUAGAGUUUUAUAAGUAUAAUUAAAUUAAGAAUAUUUAUAAAAUUAAAAUUAUUUAAAAUUUGUUUAUUUAUUUGAUUGGGGUGAUUAAAAAAUUUAAUUAACUUUUUUUAAUUUUUAACAUAGAUAAAUGAUUUAAUGGAUCCAAUUUUAUUGAUUGAAAGAAAAAAUUACCUUAGGGAUAACAGCGUAAUUUUUUUUUUUAGUUCAUAUAAGAAAAAGAGUUUGCGACCUCGAUGUUGGAUUAAGAUGAAAUUUAAAUGUAAAAGUUUGAGUGUUUUGAUCUGUUCGAUCAUUAAAAUCUUACAUGAUCUGAGUUCAAACCGGUGUAAGCCAGGUUGGUUUCUAUCUUUUAGUAAAAAUAAUAUUUUAGUACGAAAGGAUCGAGUAUUAAAAUUAAAUUUAAUAUUUAAAGAAUAUUAUUAAAAUUUAUUUAAAAUUAAUAAAAUUAUAAAAUUUGUUUAGUUUAAUAUAAUAAUGAAUGAUAAUAGGAUUUUUAUUGUUAAUAAUAAAAAUUUAUUUAAUUAAUUUUAAUUUAUAGUAUAUUUAAUUUAUUAGUAU
RNAcentral lists this ribosomal RNA (1462 nucleotides) under Dendrolimus punctatus wenshanensis. RNAcentral describes it as "16S ribosomal RNA". Lineage: Eukaryota; Metazoa; Arthropoda; Insecta; Lepidoptera; Lasiocampidae. The record is from RNAcentral.